UCCUAGUUAGUACAGCGGUUAGUAUAUGUCGCUUUCACCGACAAGGCCCGGGUUCGACUCCCGGACUGGGAA
Molecule: transfer RNA, 72 nt
Filed under: Malassezia sympodialis ATCC 42132
Lineage: Eukaryota; Fungi; Basidiomycota; Malasseziomycetes; Malasseziales; Malasseziaceae
Description: tRNA-Glu (TTC) (tRNA-Glu-TTC-1-1)
Rfam family: tRNA
About the family: Transfer RNA (tRNA) molecules are approximately 80 nucleotides in length. Their secondary structure includes four short double-helical elements and three loops (D, anti-codon, and T loops). Further hydrogen bonds mediate the characteristic L-shaped molecular structure. tRNAs have two regions of fundamental functional importance: the anti-codon, which is responsible for specific mRNA codon recognition, and the 3' end, to which the tRNAs corresponding amino acid is attached (by aminoacyl-tRNA synthetases). tRNAs cope with the degeneracy of the genetic code in two manners: having more than one tRNA (with a specific anti-codon) for a particular amino acid; and 'wobble' base-pairing, i.e. permitting non-standard base-pairing at the 3rd anti-codon position.
Source: RNAcentral